AGCAGCCGCGGUAAUUCCAGCUCCAAUAGCGUAUAUUAAAGUUGCUGCAGUUAAAAAGCUCGUAGUUGAAUUUCGGGACUAAUAUGUCGGUCGUGCCUCGGUACGUACUGGCUUAUUGGUUUCUCCUUUCUGAAGAACCAUGAUGUCAUUUAUUUGGUGUCGUGGGGAAUCAGGACCGUUACUUUAGAAAAAAUUGAGUGUUUAAAGCAGGCUCACGCUUGAAUACAUUAGCAU
This 234-nucleotide ribosomal RNA is filed under the name uncultured Glomus. RNAcentral describes it as "partial 18S ribosomal RNA". It matches the Rfam family "Eukaryotic small subunit ribosomal RNA", at positions 569 to 810 of the family's 1831-position model. Lineage: Eukaryota; Fungi; Glomeromycota; Glomeromycetes; Glomerales; Glomeraceae. The record is from RNAcentral.